UUCCAAUAUUUGUGAGCUUUAAUUUUCACUAGUUAGAGAAAAACCUCAGAGUGAGAAAGUCUUCGUAAGAGAAAUUUUUGGGUGUAAUUAGGUUGUGGGUUUGUGAGAAAUUUUAUUAGGUGUAAUUGAGUCGUGGGUUUGUGAGAGAAUGAGGGUUUGUAAACACACUCUUUUCAAUAAAAGGUCUGCAACAGCCCGGAGACGUAGGCAUAAUUGGCUGAACCCUGUUAUCAAUUUAUGUGUGCUAUUAUUCCACAUUUAAAUCGCUAUUCCACGAAUCUGACUAUGAGAAAUUUUGCGUAGUUUCCUAUCAACUGACAUCAAAGAAAUUAUUAGGUUUGAGCUUCACCGUGAUCAUGAGCACUAAGGUAAAAAGAAGGCACAGAAGUAGAAGUAGCAUUGUCAACCAUGUGGAAAAAGUCUAACAGGUUGGAAAAAAUCAACUAUGCAGAAUGAUUCCAUUCUAUGUGAAAAGUCAACUCUUGAAAAAAGCCAACAACCAAAAAAGUCAACUUCCGGUUGAAAAAGUCAACUAUGUGGAUAUUGAGCAGAAAAAGUCGGUUGCGUGAAAAUAUUACGGCGCGUAUCCUGAGGCAGAAAAUGAUGAAUGANAAUGCGCGAUUUGAGGCUUUCGACAACGCUGAGCGCGAUCCGAGGCUGUUGGCGUCGCACAGAUCCUAAGUUUCGACGACUGUGUGACUGGAAGAUUGAAAAAGAAGAGAGGUAAGAACGGUGACGACACGAGGUUUGAGACUAGGGUUUGGAACCUAAACCUAAUACCAUGUAAGAGGUGGUAACUCUCGAAUAAUGUUUAAUUCACAUACCAAUUCCACCUCCACCUUAUGAGGUUAAGUAGAAAUGAGAGAGAAAUGAAUGAUAUGAUUUGUGAUGUGACAGGAAAUGCAGAGAGAGAUAGAAAGAAAAAUAGGUGGAAAUGAGAUGGAAGAGAAAGUGAGGUGUGUAUAUAUCAUUACCCGGUAACUCUCACCACAAUUUGUGUGAGAUAGGCAAUAUUAUUUAUAACAAGAAAAAUACAUAAUAUUUUAAGGAAUAUGCCACAGAAUAAUAAAUGAAUAUCUCGUAGGAUAUUAUAUCUAUUUAUCUCUAAGAGG
RNAcentral lists this long non-coding RNA (1112 nucleotides) under Lotus japonicus. RNAcentral's name for it is "long non-coding RNA (LJAP_LNC001448)". The record is from RNAcentral. Lineage: Eukaryota; Viridiplantae; Streptophyta; Magnoliopsida; Fabales; Fabaceae.